Molecule: ribosomal RNA, 407 nt
Filed under: uncultured Butyricicoccus sp.
Lineage: Bacteria; Bacillati; Bacillota; Clostridia; Eubacteriales; Butyricicoccaceae
Description: bacterial SSU rRNA
Rfam family: Bacterial small subunit ribosomal RNA
Source: RNAcentral
UGGGGAAUAUUGCGCAAUGGGGGCAACCCUGACGCAGCAACGCCGCGUGAUCGAAGAAGGUCUUCGGAUUGUAAAGAUCUUUUAUCAGGGACGAAUAAAAUGACGGUACCUGAUGAAUAAGCUCCGGCUAACUACGUGCCAGCAGCCGCGGUAAUACGUAGGGAGCGAGCGUUAUCCGGAUUUACUGGGUGUAAAGGGCGAGUAGGCGGGCUGGUAAGUUGGAAGUGAAAUGUCGGGGCUUAACCCCGGAACUGCUUUCAAAACUGCUGGUCUUGAGUGAUGGAGAGGCAGGCGGAAUUCCUAGUGUAGCGGUGAAAUGCGUAGAUAUUAGGAGGAACACCAGUGGCGAAGGCGGCCUGCUGGACAUUAACUGACGCUGAGGAGCGAAAGCGUGGGGAGCAAACAGG